Long non-coding RNA from Siniperca chuatsi (mandarin fish), 988 nucleotides. RefSeq lists it as uncharacterized. The record is from RefSeq and is a predicted model, not a curated record. The transcript is spliced from 3 exons. Lineage: Eukaryota; Metazoa; Chordata; Actinopteri; Centrarchiformes; Sinipercidae.
AGUGACAAACAACAAGAGGAAGAGUGGGAGGGGGAAGAUCACGAAUAAGGAAUGCGGGACAUGCAGCACCGAUGCUGUGAUAAUGAGCCUCCACAGUAGGCAACAUGACAGCGGAGCUGAGCCACCAUUUUGACAAAGAAUAACACACAGCCCCAUUGUGGCACAUGGUGCAACACUACUCUUGGGAACAGUAGAACUGGAUUGGUAACUACAAAAUGUCCUUUAAAGCUUCUUCUUCCUCGGCCCUCAGAGCUGAAACUUCACACACGAGAGCUGUCGCCAUGUAAUUUUUUGUAGAGACAUUCUCAGAAACAAAGACAGGACUUCAAACUGACCUCUGCAAACUGACUUACCUCUGCAAGUGUGAGGUUGUUUCUCCCUGCGCUGGAUGAAGAAAAACCCCUCAACAGAAACCUGACACUCGAGUAACAGACAAACAAAAAGCACUAGCAGAGGGAUGGAAAAGGCUGUCUGGGGCUUGCUGGCUGCUGCUGGCCAGAGCCCAUACCUGAGUGCAGGCUUCUGGUUCACACUCACACAUUUUGACAGUGACGAUGCAGAGCCGUCCUGCCAAAUAAAAAAAAAUGGGAAAUAAAUAAAAACAUAACCAAAGACUACUAUAAAGAUUACCCUAUCAACACAAGCAAAAUUACUUGAGUGUGUCACCUAUAAGCUAAUGUUUGUUAUUAUUGGAAUCAGCAAACAGCCACAGAAAGGAAUUUUAAAACAUCACAAAUUUGAUGAAUUCCUUAUAGGAAAUUAUUGCUGCACAUUUAACCUGUCAAGAAAAUUAACUAUAUUAAGAUUUUUUCAAUGUAAAAUGACAAACCUGUCUUGACAAUGACCUUCAUGUCCUUCAUUGAUACAGGCCUCAUGGCCUUCAGGUUAGAGGAAUAACCCCAGGGAGGAUGGCUCAUAGAAAGAAAUAUUGAGAAAUAUUGUUAGCGCUAACAGAGUUUUCAAAACAACAAACUCAAGAAGACAAGAC